RNAcentral lists this ribosomal RNA (442 nucleotides) under uncultured bacterium. RNAcentral's name for it is "partial 16S ribosomal RNA". It matches the Rfam family "Bacterial small subunit ribosomal RNA", at positions 338 to 795 of the family's 1533-position model. The record is from RNAcentral.
CCUACGGGGGGCAGCAGUGGGGGAUAUUGGACAAUGGGCGGAACCCUGAUCCAGCGACGCCGCGUGAAGGAAGAAGGAUCUCGGUAUGUAAAGCUCUAUUAGCAGGGAAGAAGAAAUGACGGUACCUGUGUAAGAAGCACCGGCUAACUACGUGCCAGCAGCCGCGGUAAUACGUAGGGGGCAAGCGUUAUCCGGAAUUACUGGGUGUAAAGGGAGCGUAGGCGGUGAGGUAAGUCUGGUGUGAAAGUCAGGGGCCCAACCCCCGAACUGCUCUGGAAACUGUUUGGCUGGAGGGUAGGAGAGGUGAGCGGAAUGCCUGGUGUAGCGGUGAAAUGCGUAGAUAUUAGGAGGAACACCAGUGGCGAAGGCGGAUUACUGGACUGUAACUGACGUUGAGGCGCGAAAGCGUGGGGAGCAAACAGGAUUAGAUACCCUAGUAGUC